AGGGCGUCUGGUGAAUGCCUUGGCACUGAAAGCCGAUGAAGGACGUGAUAUACUGCGAUAAGUCUCGGGGAGUUGUAUGUAAACUUUGAUCCGAGAAUUUCCGAAUGGGGAAACCCAACUCUUUAAGAGUUAUUUCAAACUGAAUUCAUAGGUUUGAAAAGUCAACCUAGGGAACUGAAACAUCUAAGUACCUAGAGGAAAAGAAAUCAAUUGAGAUUCCGUCAGUAGUGGCGAGCGAACGCGGAACAGGCCUGUAAUUUUAUUUGUACAACUAGAAAAAUCUGGAAAGAUUUGCCACAGAGGGUGAUAGCCCCGUACAGGUAAAAGCAAAUAAGAUUCUCGAGUAAAGCGGGACACGUGAAAUCCUGCUUGAAGAUAGGGGGACCACCCUCUAAGCCUAAAUACUCUUCAGUGACCGAUAGUGAACUAGUACCGUGAGGGAAAGGUGAAAAGAACCCCUAUUAGGGGAGUGAAAUAGAACCUGAAACCGGAUGCCUACAAGCAGUCGGAGCUCUAUAUGAGUGACGACGUACCUUUUGUAUAAUGGGUCAGUGACUUUAUCUGUGCAGCAAGCUUAAGCCGAAAAGGUGUAGGCGUAGCGAAAGCGAGUCUGAAUAGGGCGACGAGUUGUACGGAUAAGAACCCGAAACCUAGUGAUCUAGUUAUGAGCAGGUUGAAGGUAAGGUAACACUUACUGGAGGACCGAACCGGUGCCUGUUGAAAAAGGCUCGGAUGACUUGUGAUUAGGGGUGAAAGGCCAAUCAAACUGGGAGAUAGCUGGUUUUCCGCGAAAACUAUUUAGGUAGUGCGUUGAAUAAUAAGAUCUUGAGGGGUAGAGCACUAAAUAGGCUAGGGGGAAGAAAUUCUUACUAAACCUAAUAAAACUCCGAAUACUCAAGAUUGUUUCUCAAUAGACAGACGGUGGGAGCUAACUUCCAUCGUCGAGAGGGAAAAAACCCAGACCACCAAUUAAGGUCCCAAAAUCGUAGUUAAGUGUGAAAGGAUGUGAAGACUCCAAAACAGCCGGGAGGUUGGCUUAGAAGCAGCCAUCCUUUAAAGAAAGCGUAACAGCUCACCGGUCUAAUUAAGAGACUUUGCGCCGAAGAUGUAACGGGGCUCAAACUACGUACCGAAGUUGUGGAUUUAAAGUGUCUACGGACAUUUUAUCUGGUAGCGGAACGUUCUGUAAGUCUGCGAAGGGAUACCCGCGAGGGGUCCUGGAGAUAUCAGAAGUGCGAAUGCUGACAUAAGUAGCGACAAACAGAGUGAAAGACUCUGUCGCCGAAAAUACAAGGGUUCCUGCGUAAAGUUAAUCUUCGCAGGGUUAGUCGGCCCCUAAGGCGAGGGCGAAAGCCGUAGUCGAUGGGAACAAGGUAAAUAUUCCUUGACCUGAUGGUAGUGACGGAUCUCGUAUAUUGUAAGUUCUUAUUGGAUUGAACUUGCUUUGAAGAGGUCCCAGGAAAUAACUCCAUCAUUAAGACCGUACCCUAAACGGACACACGUGUAUUGGUAGAGAAUACCUAGGCGCUUGAGAGAAUAAUGUUGAAGGAACUCGGCAACUUGCCUCUGUAACUUCGGGAUAAAGAGGGCCUUAGUUUGCGCAAGCAGAUUAAGGUGGCACAAGCCAGGGAGUAUCGACUGUUUAACAAAAACACAGGACUCUGCUAACACGUAAGUGGAUGUAUAGGGUCUGACGCCUGCCCGGUGCCGGAAGGUUAAAGCAAGAUGUGCAAGCAUCGAACUGAAGCCCCGGUGAACGGCGGCCGUAACUAUAACGGUCCUAAGGUAGCGAAAUUCCUUGUCGGGUAAGUUCCGACCUGCAUGAAUGGCGUAACGAAUGCUCCGGUGUCUCCAACAUUAACUCAGCGAAAUUGAAUUCUCCGUGAAGAUGCGGAGUUCCCGUGGUUAGACGGAAAGACCCCGUGCACCUUUACUACAACUUUACAUUGGUAUUAGAAAUGACAUGUGUAGCAUAGGAGGGAGACUUUGAAGUGGAGGCGCAAGCUUUCAUGGAGUCGUCAGUGAAAUACCUCUCUUGUUAUUUUUGAUAUCUAACUCCAUGCCGUCAUCCGGCUGGAAGACACUGUAUGGUGAGUAGUAUCGUGACUGGGA
This 2112-nucleotide ribosomal RNA is filed under the name freshwater metagenome. RNAcentral describes it as "bacterial LSU rRNA". It matches the Rfam family "Bacterial large subunit ribosomal RNA", at positions 14 to 2279 of the family's 2925-position model. The record is from RNAcentral.